This 876-nucleotide long non-coding RNA is filed under the name Oryza sativa (Asian cultivated rice). RNAcentral's name for it is "long non-coding RNA (OSAT_LNC001020)". The record is from RNAcentral. Lineage: Eukaryota; Viridiplantae; Streptophyta; Magnoliopsida; Poales; Poaceae.
UCCGUUUCUCUCCUCUUGACCUAGCGAAUCAGACGGCUUCGGAGCCUCGGAUGCCCACCUGAACCGGAAGCCGUACUCUCUGUUCGUAUAAUCGUACCAACCGAGAUUUGACUGGGGAGUACUCCUAAUACAACAAAUCAUUAUGUCCAGAUUCAUUGAGAUACGUCACAUCUUGACUCUUUUUAGGACUUGCACCUUUUAUUUGUUGCAUUCGAUUUGAUGUUUAGCGGAUCAUACUAGGAUGAAGGUAUCGUAUACAUAGUGUAUAUCACCAUAGGAUAAAUGCACUAUUUACAUAUAUAGUUUGUGUAAGAAUUUAAUUUGUUGCACUUUUAAUAUAUCGUUUAUAUUAUUAGCGGUUUAAAGGCUUGUUUUCAUAUCAAGGAUAAAAGUGUAAUACGUAGAACGAUUUGCCUUGUUUCUUCACUGCAAAAUCCAACAUAUUUUAAAUUCUAGUUGCUGUAUUCCUGACGCAAAGUAAAUACUCAUCGCUUUACCAGAAUAGAUUUGAAUCCAUAAUCUACCUCUACCAGAGAAUGAAUCUAAAAUCCAUCCAUCCAAACAAGCCAGCCAUAGAUCAACGCACACAGCAAAGCUAUAGCCAAGGAAGAAAUGAAGUAGAGCGAAAAUGCAAGGUGAUCCCAUCCAUCCAAACAAGCCAGCCAUAGAUCAACGCACACAGCAAAGCUACAGCCAAGGAAGAAAUGAAGUAGAGCGAAAAUGCAAGGUGAUCCUAAACCGGCACAUUGUACAUGACUGCAUCUGACAGGUCACAACUAAUUGCUAGAGUUCCAGUUAAAACUGACGCUAGCCUACAAAGGAUGGGUGCAGAUGGAUUACAGACGAUUUGCAGCAAUAAUAUCAAAUACAUGCCCC